GGCCGCCUUGAAUUACAAUUCCGAUCGAGCGGCGCGAGCUGAAUCCUUUGCAGACGACUUAAAUACGCGACGGGGUAUUGUAAGGGUAGAGUGGCCUUGCUGCCACGAUCCUCUGAGAUUCAGCCUUUGUCGCUCCGAUUCGU
RNAcentral lists this non-coding RNA (143 nucleotides) under Ipomoea nil (Japanese morning glory). RNAcentral's name for it is "Eukaryotic large subunit ribosomal RNA". It matches the Rfam family "Eukaryotic large subunit ribosomal RNA", at positions 3260 to 3401 of the family's 3401-position model. The record is from Rfam by way of RNAcentral. Lineage: Eukaryota; Viridiplantae; Streptophyta; Magnoliopsida; Solanales; Convolvulaceae.